AAUCCCCUUCCUUACUCCAGGUGCUUCAAAUGCAGUGUAGUGUCCUGGCAUUGUCUGGGGAAAGAAGAAAGUGCUUGCCCUUCAUCUUUAUUGGGCUUGCAUUCCCUUUAAGCCUUGUAUGUGAGCCAACAGA
This is a small nucleolar RNA of Polyodon spathula (Mississippi paddlefish), 133 nucleotides long. RefSeq annotates it as small nucleolar RNA SNORA49. NCBI's taxonomy places the organism in Eukaryota, Metazoa, Chordata, Actinopteri, Acipenseriformes, Polyodontidae. The record is from RefSeq and is a predicted model, not a curated record. The transcript has a single exon.